UCCCUGGUGGUCCGGUGAUUAAGAAUCCUGCUUGCAAUGCAGGCGACACAGGUUCCAUCCCUGUUUGGGGAA
This 72-nucleotide transfer RNA is filed under the name Bos taurus (domestic cattle). It matches the Rfam family "tRNA". Rfam says of the family: Transfer RNA (tRNA) molecules are approximately 80 nucleotides in length. Their secondary structure includes four short double-helical elements and three loops (D, anti-codon, and T loops). The record is from Rfam by way of RNAcentral. RNAcentral also lists the same sequence under 5 other names. Lineage: Eukaryota; Metazoa; Chordata; Mammalia; Artiodactyla; Bovidae.